Acanthosepion pharaonis is the source of this 109-nucleotide non-coding RNA. Lineage: Eukaryota; Metazoa; Mollusca; Cephalopoda; Sepiida; Sepiidae. The record is from the annotation of a GenBank genome assembly.
AUGGCUAUAUCACGCUAAAACACCAGUUCUCGUUCGAUCAUGGAACAUAAGCAACGUCAAGCUUGGUCAGUACCAAGAUGGGUGACCGCUUGGGGAUACCAUCUGCUGG